UCCUACGGGGGGCAGCAGUGAGGAAUAUUGGUCAAUGGGCGGAAGCCUGAACCAGCCAAGUCGCGUGAGGGAUUAAGGCCCUGCGGGUCGUAAACCUCUUUUGCCGGGGAGCAGUGGUCCGGACGCGUCCGGACCGGGAGAGUACCCGGAGAAAAAGCAUCGGCUAACUCCGUGCCAGCAGCCGCGGUAAUACGGAGGAUGCGAGCGUUAUCCGGAAUGAUUGGGCGUAAAGGGUGCGUAGGCGGCCUGCUAAGUCUGGAGUGAAAGGUACCGGCUCAACCGGUACAGGCUCUGGAAACUGGCGG
RNAcentral lists this ribosomal RNA (305 nucleotides) under uncultured bacterium. RNAcentral describes it as "bacterial SSU rRNA". It matches the Rfam family "Bacterial small subunit ribosomal RNA", at positions 337 to 639 of the family's 1533-position model. The record is from RNAcentral.